Brassica napus (rape) is the source of this 1356-nucleotide RNA transcript. RefSeq lists it as uncharacterized. The transcript has 6 exons. NCBI's taxonomy places the organism in Eukaryota, Viridiplantae, Streptophyta, Magnoliopsida, Brassicales, Brassicaceae. The record is from RefSeq and is a predicted model, not a curated record.
GCCAUUCGGGCCUUCGGUAAAAAUCAAAUCCAAGACAAAACAGACGAUGAGCUUCACUACAUCUCUCAUCUCCUCUCUGGCUUCUCCUCCGUCUCUCGUCCCUCCCCACGAUCUUCCUCCUUUCUUCUCCCUCAGAAACACAGUCCUGAAGCCAACAAUCGCCACUCGUACACGUCGACAACUGUUCCCAUCCUCUUGUCUGGCUGCAAAAGCAGCCACGUCGCCGUCGGAGACAGCCAACGACGUUGUCCUCGAAACAGCUCCGACACCAGCGCAUGAGGUCGUCUCCAGCUUCUACGCCGCCAUCAACGUCCAUGACUUAUCCUCCGUCACAGACCUCAUAGCUCAGGACUGCCUCUACGAGGAUCUCGUCUUCUCUUCCCCUUUCGUUGGCCGAACGGCGAUUCUGGACUUCUUCGGGAAGUUCAUCGAAGCAACGAGUACGGAUCUUCAGUUCGUGAUAGAUGACAUUUCCAAAGAGGACUCUUCAGCUGUUGGCGUUUCAUGGCAUUUAGAAUGGAAAGGCAAGAACUUCCCGUUUAGUAAAGGUUGCAGCUUUUACAAGCUUGAAGUUAUUGAUGGCAAGAGACAGAUUGUAUAUGGAAGGGACUGUGUUGAGCCUGCUAUCAAACCUGGAGACACAGUUCUGGUUGCUAUUAAGGGAGUUACCUGGCUGCUGCAGAAGUUUCCUCAACUGGCUGACCAGUUUUGAAGUAAUUACAAAGCUACUGCUUGAUGAAGUGAAUCACCUUAUAAGUUAUCAUUGUGGUAUAUAGGAACAAAUACUUAGCCAGCAAGCCCCACCGUUGUCCAAAUUGUGUUAAUGGCAGGAAAAUUAGUCGCCAUGUGUAUAACAUAUUGUUUUCGGACUGAUGAUAUAUAGAAUACGUGUUCUUAACUAUAAAAAAAGAUCCAUGAGGGUCACCUUCAUCCAACUUCUUGAAGAACUUCAUCUGAAGUUUGUUUCUGAUAGAUGGCAUAACCAGCAGCGUCUUUCAUCAGCUGAUUCAGUCCAUCAGAGCCUGUGUCAAUCCAAGCCUCCCAGGAGCAUUUUUCGUGAUAGUCCUAACUUCAGCAAGCUUGCUCCAAAAACCAGCAGCUGCCUAUUUGCUAUCAACAUAUAGUAUCCUGGAUUCUCUGGCUUCUGUUUCCAGGAGAUUUUCUGCCGCCCAUUCACCAAUCUCUGUGUUCCCGUUGACGUGGCAAGAGUUCAGUAGAAUGGCACUGGAUGGCAUUCUGUGAAUUAUAUCUCUGGCUUCCCCCCAAGAGGCCUUGCUCUGCCAUAACCAAUAAUCACAGGCGCAGCCAUGAGGCAAAGCUCACGGGGGAAAUCUAUGGGCUUUUUAUCUAAAGGCC